UGGGGAAUAUUGCACAAUGGGCGAAAGCCUGAUGCAGCAACGCCGCGUGAGUGAUGAAGGCCUUCGGGUUGUAAAGCUCUGUCUUUUGGGACGAUAAUGACGGCACCAAAGGAGGAAGCCACGGCUAACUACGUGCCAGCAGACGCGGUAAUACGUAGGUGGCGAGCGUUGUCCGGAUUUACUGGGCGUAAAGGAUGCGUAGGCGGAUAUUUAAGUGAGAUGUGAAAUACCCGAGCUUAACUUGGGUGCUGCAUUUCAAACUGGAUAUCUAGAGUGCGGGAGAGGAGAAUGGAAUUCCUAGUGUAGCGGUGAAAUGCGUAGAGAUUAGGAAGAACACCAGUGGCGAAGGCGAUUCUCUGGACCGUAACUGACGCUGAGGCACGAAAGCGUGGGUAGCAAAC
RNAcentral lists this ribosomal RNA (401 nucleotides) under uncultured bacterium. RNAcentral's name for it is "bacterial SSU rRNA". It matches the Rfam family "Bacterial small subunit ribosomal RNA", at positions 355 to 773 of the family's 1533-position model. The record is from RNAcentral.